This 32759-nucleotide long non-coding RNA is filed under the name Gallus gallus (chicken). Lineage: Eukaryota; Metazoa; Chordata; Aves; Galliformes; Phasianidae. The record is from RNAcentral.
UGCCUGCGAAUACGUGUUGCAAACAAUACAAGCAAAGUCUUAAGCCACAAAGAGCAGUUUAAUGUAUCUGAAACUGCUCCCUAGGUAACUUUUUUGAUAUUAUCGAUACAGAAGACUGACGAGGGAUGAUUCAAUCGAUGUUAGAAAUUCUUAAAGUAAUACAAAUAUCAUUUGAUAUGCCUUCAAACUGGUCAAAAUACUUCAAUUGGAACAGAAGUUCUUCAGAUCUCAAAACUCCGGUAGUACCUAGUAAGUAAAUAAUAAAAUGGUAUUUGAAUUGUAUUUGGGAGCUUUACAUAAGGAAUUGAGAGGUGCCAGGAAAGGUGGACAAUAAUAAUCUGUGACUGGGGAGACUUUAUAUGAAGAAACGCUGUACUGUUUUGCAUCAGAAAAAGCAAAUCAGGAGGGAACUAAUUCUAGAACAUAGUAAAUUGUUUAGGAAAUCUGGGUCAGGAGUCUGUUCUUGUGUUGUGAGAUAGAAAAGAAAUGGGAAACAAUUGAAAAUUGGUCAGUUCAAGGUUGGCGAAAGGAAACUCCUUUUUACGAUGUGUGCAGGAUCACCUGAGGAGGUGUUUGCAUGGGAGGUCAGUUCAGGGCAUCAGCUUUUAAAAUUCAGCAGAGAGUUGCAUGUUUAUGAGUACUGGGAGAUGAAAAAGCAUUUAAGUCAAAUACAGAUUCUUUUUAUUAUUACUUCAAGCAGUUCCUAAAUCUUAAAAGACCGGGACAGUGCUUAUGCUGAACGAAGGUAGCGUUCUCUGUUGGGAGCUCUAGGUUUUCCCCCAAAGUUCUCACAUCUCUGUAAGGGAUUGGUGGUGUUGGGUGGGCUUCCAGACUGGUUGUGCCUUGCUUGCAGCUCCCUCUGUGACAUCUUGGGCACCUCUGAGAUCAGCAAGGCACACUUCUAAAAUGCUGUGCAAGGAAAAUACAGAGGGCACGUCUUUUUUUUUUUUGUUAGGAAACUGGCAGAUUGUGAAGGCUGGAUUUUUUUCCAUCUGCAGGUAUAAAUUGAAUGGAUUUUAACAUUUAGAUUAAUGCUGGUAUCUGAUGUGAUUUCUGCUGAGUCAGUGCAAAAAUUUUUAUUGACUUCUGUGGACAAUAGGUCAGGUCCCUUAAAAUCAAUCCUGUAUCCUGUAUUAACUACUGUAUCAUAAGGUCUGUCUACCCUUGCUUGAUGGGUUUGACUAUUUAAGGAAAGUAUUUUAGAUGGUAAGCAAGAAUCUUGUAUACUGCUAAUCUGGGAGGAAUUACCCAAUUAACACGUUCCCAAAAGCCUGCCCAAAUGUCUCACCCAGCCAGCUGUAUUUUUAGCAGUCUUUGCCUCUAAAGCAGGUCAUGUAGGUUCUUUUUAGCUACAAUUUACUACUGAAAUCUGUGUUGUUUUGGGAACGCUUCAUUCAUUUCUCAGAACUGGGGCAAUUGCUGAAGAUCAUCUCAGAGGGGAAAAAAACGGUUUUUAAACCUUGAGGCAUAACCUUGGGAAAUGUGAUGGUGAGAACGCAAUGUGCCAGGCAGAGCUGGGGUUGCAAUCACCCUUACAAAAACUAUCAAAGCAAGUGAUGAUUGAACAGAAAGGACAGGAGAAACACAGGACUUGAAAUACGUGUGGUUGGUACAUCGUUACGUUCAUCUUGAAAACCCAUGAGUCAGAUAAUUAGUAUCCUUAGUCUACAAAUGACAAAAUGGAGUUGCACUUCUCUUUGGAGCUGCUGUGAAAAUGUUUGGGUGAAAAAAAAAUAUACAGAUGUGUUUGAGCAAAAUCUUUUUUUUUUUUAAAGAUUGCAGGGCAGCAGAUUGGUCUUUUGAUAGGCACGUGGGUAGGAGAAAAUACACUUUUCUUUAGAAGUUUGGUCUGGUCCAUGGUUCAAAAUGAUGCAAUUAGAACGAAUGUCUCUAAACAAAUGCUCAGUGAAAACUGGAAUAUUUCUGGCAGAGCUGUCUUGAUUAUUUUCAUUUGUCUUCUGUUGUGCAGAAGCAACCAGAAAACAAUGUUUUAUUUGAGAAGACCACCAGAUGCACCCUUAGUGCCCAACUGAAGGCAGCAAAGUGUGGUUCCCUUGUGUUCUGUUAGCAUUCAGUAAAUAUCGUCCAGCAAAAUUAUGUAAUCUGGUAUUAGUAUUUAUCUCUUUAGAGUUCUAAAGUCCCAGUUUCUAAAUAUGCCUGAAAUGUUGCUCUCUAAAUAAUGUAUGCUAAUGAGAUGGUCAUUAAUGUGGAUAGACAAAGCUGGUUCCACACAGGCUGGCUCGUCCAGCACUGCGGAUAGGAACGGGAAUCCAGAGUGAACUCAGCAGCUGAAAUAGUUUGGGUUUCAUUUGCAGCCCGAGUUUUGUUUUAAAAACUUGACUGAACUUGUUACGCUACAGCAACGAAAGCAAAACAGAGUUCUUGCCCUGUAAAGUUCACACCUAUUUUUGAACAGUUCUUUGGCAGUCAUGUCUAUUGAUACGUAUUAGCACUUGAGCUGUGCAGAAAACAAUAAGGAUUUUGAAUGGCGAGGGCAGUGCCUUGACAUGGCAGGAGGAGGAGGAGGGUUUGCAGCCUGUUGGCCCCAGAGGUGGGUGAACUUCAAAGCCAGAUACCUGCUGGGCUGUGUGCUCCUGCCAGGCUGUGCCACUUCGCUGUUCCUAGAGCUGGAAAUGUGUCGCACUGAGAAGCAACAAUUAAUUAAAAAAAAGGGGGGAAAAAAGCCCUUGAAUUUCAAUGCAGUGAACGCAUUACAGUGUUUCUUGUUGUUGCUGCUCACGUGCUCCAUAAACAAGAGCAGGCUUACUUCCUUGUGAGUCAACCUGCCUGUUACGGAAUUUGUUGUGCUUGGAGAAAAACAAAUAUUUACUUCAUCCUUUGCUGAGAAAGUCACGACCUUCAGCCAGUUUGAAGGCUGCCUGGCUCUGCUGCCUGGCCCCAGUGCAGGAUGGCCAUGCCCUGGUUGUGUGUGCGCUGUGCUGCCCGUGGGAGCUCCUGUGGGACAGCGCUCAAUGCAUUUUCAGCUUUCUGCUGCUAAUCUCGUUUGUGUGAGCGAACUCUUCUUAAAUGGUCAUUUAAGUCUCUCUCCUGGGCCUGGUUGUAAUACUGGGGCUUUGGAAAGGUUGUUAGAAGGCAGCUUUCAGAUACUGAUGCCUAUUUUUUCCUUUUAAAUGCGUCCGCCUACUAGCAUACCCUAUUCUGAAUAAGGCCCGUCUCCUCCCAGUUCCAUUUGCAUCCAUCUUAAUACUGCAGGCUUCUGUGAUUUUUCUAUAUUGUUUGCUACACAAAGUGGGCAUGUUUUACUCUUGUUUCUCUCCUGCUUGAUGUGGUGUUUCUUUUUUUUGCAUGUGUAGCCAAGGUUUCAUUAAUGUUUCUUGUUACCAAAUCACACUGCAAGCCUUGUAAGAAUUUCUUGGCUUCUCGGUUUGUCACUCCCACUGAAUUUUUCUUUCAGAUUAUUUUCCUGUCGGAUGUCUUCGCUGCACUUUCCCAAGGAGAAUCUUAUUUUUAAUUGCCUGUUUUUCAACUUUCUCUGUCCUCGCUGGGGCUUGCAUCUCCUAAAUUUAGUAUCAUCCACGGAUUUCAAGAACACACACUUUAUUUCUGCAUCAUUAGCUAGGAUUUUAAAGAAAGAAAAUAGAGAAGAAGGCUUCCCGCGUCCUUGAUAGAUGCAUCCAAAGACUUGGUAUAUGAUUUUCAGUUUGCUUUGUUUAUUUCCUUGUGCAGUGUUCAGGCCCCGUUGAAAGCAGUUUAAAUAAUUUUGGUAGAGUGUCAUUUGAUAUAGUCAAAUGGCUUUCUAACAUACAAGUAUUUUAUCUACUGUGUUCUUGUUAUCAACCAACUGAAACUCUCUAAAAAAAAGUGAUUGACUUCAUUGGUCUUUGUGUGUGCUUUGUAAGCCCCUUUUCCUGUACUGCUUUUGGUUGGAAGAAGAUAAUCAUCUUCCAUAUGUCUUAAGGUUUUACUAAGACUGCAGAAACCAAACUGUUCCUUUUUAGGAGAAGUACAAUUUGCUGAUAGGAGAGGAAAACAUAUGGAAAUUGUUAUGUGAACUUGAGGUCCAAGUGUGUCUUUAAUCUAUAAAUAGAUCCCUAGUAUUCCAUGUCUUAAAAUAAUUAUUGUCUGUAUUUACCAAGCUUGUUUGCUCGUAUCUCUUUACCAGCUCACCUCCUUGGAAUAUAUUAUAUUAUGGAGUGGUGCUGAUAUGUCUGCCUGAGGCUCUUACCUGCCCUUAUUAAUGCUCAUUUGCAGUGGCUAUCAAUUUGCACUGCACUGAGGUGAUACAGAUAGAAUCGUGGGACUGCCAUAGCAUGUGUGUUUGCAGGAGUACUGCUGAGAAUCACUGUCUGUUGUAGAUUUGAUUUCUGCAUGUCUGAAUGCAUGUGUUUCUCACUGUAGAUGUCUCAAAUUUGUUUUCUCUGUAUUGCCUUUCAUACUUGUUGCAGCUAAGUGUAUACGUAUAAAAAUGUUUUAUAAGUCUGCAAUUACAUUCUAAUUGUUCAGCCUUUCCUUUAUUUCCCCCUUGAGCUUUUAAAAUGUGGUCAGCGUAGCAGGCUACUUGACUUUUUAAUCCUUCCUCCUUCAUCAUUUGCUGAUGGUGCAGCCUGUCCUUGCAGUGGCACGAACUGUUAGCUCCCUCCAUGUCCAUGCGGUGCUCCUUUCUCCCUGCCAGCUGCAUCUGAUGCCGCAAUUCUGGUGUGGGUUCUCCUCUUGUCCAGUGUGGAAGCUCAAAUCUUGGCCAUCGUGUCUGUGUAGGCCCCAUUGGUCAUUUUGAGCUUCUUGCAUGCCUGCCUUGGAGAGGGUCUGGAGUUCCUCGCAUAUGGGGAUAUUUUGUACUUUCACGAGGUUGUUCUACACUUCUAAUCCUUUCUUCCACCUGACCUUACUCUGCUCUGAAUUGCCACGCAGCUUUGUGCUGGUAGGAAGCCACUCCGGGAUGGUUUACCUCCUCGGCAGCUCUGUGAUAGGUCUAUUAAGAGAUGCACUUCAUGGCCUGAUGCUGCCCAAUUUCAUUAUUUUAGUUAAUGAGCAGGAAGCCAAUCUAGCAGAGCCCCUGCUGAGUGUGAUGUCUGCUCCUCGCACACCGUGUGUGGUCCAGAGGUGUUCUGCCACCUCCAUCACCCCAUCCUGAGACCUGCGAUACAUCCCAGAGCUCUCUCGCCUUCUUUCCGCUCCCUACUACUCCUGCCCCCCACUUCUAGUCUUAAAUCCGUCCUUUAAACACACCAAAUUUCUUCUGAGUAUUCAAUUUCUAUUCCUCUGUAGUUGGGCAAAACUGCUGUAGCCUUUUUCUUUUGUCGAGAUUUUCCUUUUGCUCGAAUUUCCUUUGAUAGUUAAAAAAAAAAAUGCUGUAUUCACUUAUUCAUAAAAUAAUCCAUUGCAAAUCUCAUUUGUAUCAUCUCUCUUGGUUCUGCUUCUUUCUGAGUUAUUACUGCUCAUUGAAUACGUUGGAAUUAUUUUUCUUCUGCUUGUUUUUUUUUCUUCCAGGUGGAAACUGAUUUUUUGUCCUUUUUUUCAUCCAUAAUACAUACGCUCCCAGUCUCUAAUGGUAGCUCUCAGUUUUGUAGACUGUCUCUGAAAAUGUAAUUGCGAGGUUUAUUCCCAUCUUUAUAUUAAAUAAGAUACUUAAUACGGCCAGACAAAUUCUAAUCCCUGUGGCAAUGUACUAAACGCAUUUGUCGGCAUGUAGCAAAUGACUGUUCUAGUCCGUCAGCCAUUCUUCAAUGCACAUGGUGGGCUUGCUACUCACAGCUACAUGUGCUCAGAGCACUGUUCUCCCUAUCAGUGUGUUUCGGGACCAGGAGCACUUGGAGGCCGAUCUCCACUUCUGCAUCAAAACAAGCCUAAAGAGUCAACAUCUUUUUCUGUUUCUUUUUUUUUCGUGUGUGUGUGUGUGUGUGAAAUGGUAAGUGCCUGGCUUUGUAGCUGAAAGAGCACCAAAACCCCAAUGUGUUUGGUCUGUUGUGGCCCCAAGGACAGCCCCUGGGCUUCCUGCCUGCCCUCGCGCUGAAAGGAACGUGAGCACCGUGCAGUUCAAGUUAUCCUCUUCAGGCAGCGGAUGGGUGUUUUUCUUGGAAGGAGCACAACCACCCAGUUAUGGAAAUAUGAAAACAACAUAAGAAAGCUUUGGGACAAACGGGACGAGGCUGCGUUGCUCCUUCCUUGUGAGGGUGCUUAAGCUGUGAUGCCACCGAGCCGCUGUGUGGCAGGGAAGCUUGGAAGCUGAACGCCUUUCAGGAGUAAGUGAAAAUCACUGCGUUUCUGUUAAAUUAGGGGGAAAGAAAAAAGAAUGUACCUCGUACUGCUUUUUAAUUGUAUGGAAAAUUAUGCCUUGUGUUAAGGCCUGAAAAUUUGAUAUUAAAUUAUUCUUUGGAGCGCUGUAUUUCUGCUUCCAGUAUUUAAAAGUAAUCAAACUGCUGAACGUGGGAAAGUGUUUUGUGUACCACCUGGAUUUAGAAUUAGUAGGAAUGUUAAAUCAGCUGUAACUCAUUCUACAUCUGCAGACAAAAUCGUAUUGCCAGAGUUUAUUUAGUGAAUUCCAUUCACGGCCUCGUUCAUACACUGUUAGCUAACUGAAAGAUUUAUUUUUCUUAUGCAACUCGGAGUGUUCGUCUUCUGCUGUAUCUGAAUAUAAAUUUCCUGAAAGACGAGUCUGUUUUAAUGUAUGGUGGAUAGAUCUUUGGUUUAAACCUGAUGGAUUUAAAUGUACAAGUAAAUUCGGAUAAUCCUUUUCCAUUUCAUGCGAACACUUUAUAAGACAAAUCUCUGAAAUAGCCACUGCUGUAGACUUCUGGGCUCAGUUUCCAUCCAAAUGCAACUGGAACAGGUCAAAAGAAAAUUUCAGUAAGAAAGGGAAAUUAUGGCUCGUGGUGGAUGUAAAGCUUACAGUGAAAAGUGUGUGUGCAUAUAUACGUGCAGACAACACAAUUUACAUGGAUACUUAAAUCAUGUAACUUUUUUAGAGUGUGAAGUCUAGAUUUAGAAGCAAAUUAAGGCUUGCUAGUAUCGAGCAAUCAAUAAGAAACAGCGUUUCUCCAGGAAAAUGGCUUGAAAGCACAAAAGUAGACAAAAUAGGCUAUUUGAAUCAUGGGAGGGAAAGUCAUUCUGCUUUUCUGCCUUAUUGUUUUUAAGAACCCAAUCAUAUAUAUAAUGUUGAAGUAUGUGGUAUAAAUUAUUACUGGACAUAUUUUUGGUAGGAAAAGUCUGGUCGAAAGAUGAAGAAUGGAUUUGGUGUUGCACUUUAAAUUGAGAUAAGUUUCACAGUUUGUCAUGAUUGAAAAUGUAUUCUCCUUCACUUGCUUUGCAGUUAAUCAUUGCAUUUCAGCUGUCAUGUAGGAAGGAUCUACUCUUGUAAUCAUUUUGCCAGUUUACAGUAGGUAAUGUGUGCAUGAUGUGAAGCCCAGGUACUAAGGGUGACUUAGAUGUGGCAUAGAGGUUUGUGUUGUGAGGCCAUGUUGGCAGGGAUGGUUCUGGAAUGGAUGAGCAUUUUAUACUACCUGCAAACAUACAGCUCUGUGCUAGAAUGUGGGUAAGUCUAACGUAUGCACGUGGGUAUCUUAGCAAGAAAGGAAUCAACGCUCCGAACUGAUGUUUUACUGUGAGGUUGCACGAUGGAUGCUGUUGGGGAAGCUCACAAAAACAAAUUGCUUGGAUAUUUUGUCUUGGCUUUAAUUGACCCUGAACUACAGUGGCUGCUUAGGUGCCUUCUUGCAGCCUCAGCCCCUACUGUUAAGCUGUGCAGUUCAUUGGGUUUGAAAUGUGGUGGGAUUUUUGUACUUGUUAAUGCACAGCUUGUGUUUUUGAGAGUUCACUUUUCACCUGCAUGCCACCGUGAAAAACCUCUUCCCUCCUCCCCUGCCAGGCCCCAACCUUGCGUCUGUAACAGAAAGGAAAAGCCUGACCCUUAAGGGCAGGCAUGGCUCAGCUGCACCUUAGUUUUCUUCUUUAUAUCCCUUGCCAGCUUUAUGACUUCAGAGAUUUGGUGACUAGGAAUUCUCAGGGAGGGUAAAUGAGUAAAUCUUGUUUUCUUUUUCUAAGCUGGGGGGAAAAUAUAUACAUAUAUCGAUAUAUAUAUAUAUAUAUGUUUUGAGUAUUUUUCCAGUCCAGUGAAUCGGAAGGAUUAACUUUGCACUCUAAUAAAUAAAACAGCCUAGCAGAUUUUGUCCAAAUGUUUCUUCACCAGACUUAAAUCCUAAUCCUGGACUAAAAUCUCAUAGGCUUGUGGUAAAAUUGUUCCAGACUAAAACUUGGCAAAGUAAAAAAUCUCUGAAAGCAGGGUUCACAAUGGAAAUGCUGAUGCAAGCAUAACUAGAGCAUUGCAAAUGCGACGCCAUAAGAACAGCUUUGCAUAUUGCUCAUGAAUAGCUCAGAGGUAAAAGGAUUAACACUUCUUAAUACUGCUUUGAAUCUGCUUGACUUUUUGCUUGCUGGACUCAACACAGAUAUUCUGCAGUGUACAUAGCUUCGUAUAUUGGCCUUUUACUCAGAUCCUUUUCUCCCCCAUCCCCCAGCUUGAGCGUGUUUUAUUGCUGCAAAUAGAGGCCUUUGUUACCUCGAAUUUCCCGCAUCACCUCCCUAGGUUUGUCAGCGGACAGAAAUGAAUACCUGCAGUAACAGUUGGAGCUCAGCCUGUAGCUGCUCCAUUUGCGGGGUGAGGGAACGCACGUGGUGUGUGGGGAGGAGGAGCCGUGGGGCUGCUCUCCUCCGGUACUGCGGUACCACAGGUUACGUCCCAUUAAAAACUCCCUGAAGCAGAGUGCCUCCUUCUUGGUUGGCAUUGCUGAACCUAUGCACAGCCUUUGGGUCUCCUUGGUUGCAGCUGAAGCACUGGGAAGCGAGCGCGUGUGUGCUUCUUGGUGGGUUUCUGGGCUUCCCUUGAAGAUUUUCACCCUGUAAAACUUGCUGCUGCCAUCUCAGACUGUUACAAACACUGUUCCUGUGAAGUAAGAGCAAAGAACAUCUUGUCGAUCCUCUAAAGCAGUUCAGGGUCGUGUGUGUAUGGACACCAACACACACACACACACACGUAGCUAUAUAAAUAUCCCAUUGCUGUUGCCAUAGUCACUCGCUGGACUUUAUACCAGCACCUGUGCAGGGAGGUGUCAGGGAGAUGUAUUUUAAAUACGAGCUGAAAUGCAUCCAGCAGCAGAUCAGAUGGGUUUUAAAGGCCCCUUUCCUCCACCAAAGCUUCAGCUAAUUUGCUUUCGCACAAAAGGGAACAAACUUGAAUUUCUUCAGUGUUUAAGCAAAUAAUAUUUCAUAAAAAAAGGUAAUGUGUAUGAUUAAAGACAAAAUACUUGGGCUCUGGCUGGUGGUUAUUUGCAGCAGGCGCACGGCCUUCAGGCAGUAAUGGUAGGAAAAGUGAGUGUGUGGUUACUGUCAGUCUGCUUGACAACUGGUAUCAAUAGAAAUUCCCUUGGCAAGAAAAUAGAGAGAGGUCUUCUACAAACCCGAGUAUUAUUUUCUUUGACUUCUUUUUGCUUUGAAUAUUUUUUUUUUCUUAAACCAAGAUAAGUAUGUAUGCAGAUCAAAGUCAUCUGAAUUGCAUACAGGAAAAAAAAAAGUGGUCAUUAUUGCUGUAAUUCACAUCGGUGGUACACCUUGCUGCUUCAGAACUCACGGCCUUGGCCGUGUAUUACUGUGGGCGUGAGAUAUUUUGAUGUUAAUGCAUGUGUGUGUGCCACGGUACGUGCUGUGUGGGGCUGUGUGUAAGCACUGAGGACACUCCGGUAGCCUCUAAUUUCUUUGGCUUUGAAAAUUACCAAAUAAAAGAAUAAGCAAGAAAUGUACGUAGUUAAAAUUCACAGUGGAAGGGAAGAUCCUUGGGGAAGAUGCGCGUUGGUCUUGGAUGGUUAUUAAAGUUUCUGGUUAGUGCUUUUAAUAUAACUUCUGAGGCAGCUUUUAUCGAAAGAUCUCGGAGCACAUUAGGGACGAGUUCAGACUUAAACCUCCCUGUGGUGAGCGGGGCAAGUACCUUCAAGAAACUGAUGUCCAGAGAUGCCUGCCAUGUUUGCCUGCGCUUAUUUGGAAAGCUGGGUCUUGUUUAUGCCCGAAAUUAAUGCAGAUUAAGGCAGGGUGUAAGCACAGUAGUUGUUUCUGAUUAAUUAAAUGUGCAGAUUCUUUUUUUUUUUUCUCCUGGAACAAGAGCAUCUUGUUUCUGGUUAGCAUAUCCUCUUUGAAAUAGCACUCAUUACUGAAAGCUACCCACUCGUGGCUUUAAUAAAGAGCUAUUGUGUGAGCUGGAUGGUCCCUGCUGCCGCAGCUGGGGGAGCGGCGUGGGCUCUUGGCCUUGCCCUGUCCCCGGGUGGGCUGGCACCCCACAGCCUGGCUGGUCCCACAGCUGGCGGUGAGGCUGAGCUGAGUGCCGUCCCACGGGCCCCAUGCUGCUGCCUUGUCUCUGAGGUUGGUGUCCUGUGGUGGCUGCAUGGGCUGGGGGUGUUGCCAUCUGCAGAAGGGGAGCAGAGGCAAGGAGCAGUGCCAGGGCUGUGAGAGGUUUCGUCUCUACUGCUAAUAACUGCAGCUGAGAGGCUUUUCCUUCUGUGGCUGCAGAAACUUUUGCUGAUUGCUAACAGCUGUAAGUUGCUAUGUGAGCAAACUCUUAAAAGCUAAAGGACUCCAUUUCAGAUGUUGCGAGGGAGAGAAUUUCUGUAUUUUGUGGUUGCUGUAGCAAAACCCUUCUGCAAUCUAUACUUCAGCCUUCUCUCUGAGAACUGAGGAGACUUUCCAACACUGUGUCUGUGUCAUCAUAGAAUCUCUGAAUCACUUAAGUUGGAAGAGACGUUAAAGCCCGCCCAGUCCCAACCCCCUGCUGUGGGCCCAGUGCCUCCCACCAGCUCAGGCUGCCCAGAGCCCCAUCCAGCCCAACCUUGGGCACCUUCAGGGAUGGGGCACCCACAGCUCUCUGGGCAGCCGUGGCCGGGCCCCGCUGCCCACUGAGAAAAGAGUUUUUUUCCUAACGUCUAAUCUGAAUUUCUCUUCUAGUUUAAAGCCAUUCCUCAUUCUGUCGCUGUCAGACCAUGUAAAAAGUUUAUUUCCCUCCUGUUUAUAAGCUCCUUUCAAGUACUGAAAGGCCACGAUGAGGUCUCCUUAGAGCCUUCUCUUCUCUAGUCUGAAGGGCUCCUCAAGCCUAACUCACUUAGCCUGUCUUCAUUGGAGAGGUGCUCCAGCCCUCUGCUGAUCAUCAUCGUUCCCCUGAAUGCUUGGGUGGGUUAGUGAAGUCUUCUAAACCAAGAGCUAGCAUUAUAGUUCAUUAGGGAAUUACUUUUCUUGUCUUUCAAACAGGUUUAUGUAAAGGAUUAGUAAGGUUCUGAGCGAGGUUUUGCAGCCUCCUGAUGACUGCACAUAAGGAUGUGCCAUGGAACACACCGUGUGUGUCUCUGCCUGCCUGCGUGGAGUGCAAAUGUGGUAGUGUAUGUCCAGGUUCCUAGGGCAGCCCCUGUUGCUGUGAUACCUAAGAGACUUUAAUUCUUGGUAGGUUUGUACCCUUAGGAAAUUUCUGGGGAAACAGGACAGUAAAAAACCAUUCCAUACGUUUCCAUGCACAGAAACGGGGGAUCUGGAAGAUGGAAUAUCUCCAGAGGUGAUCUCAGCCUGGUACUAUGUAUGGUAGUUUGCCUCUUGCUACGGAACAAGGUGGCAUGCUGAUGGAGAUGCAUCUGUUCUGUAUUUAUUUUGCUUUAUUUGGAAAAAGUUUGAUUUGGAAUGUGGGGCAUGGCUGAUCUGCAGAGGAGCACGCUGGUUUGAAGGAGCAUACGUAAGCACUCUCCAAACUGGAAAUAAGAAAGGUGGAGCAGCGAAACAUUUGAAUGCCUAAAGGUAAUAAAACACUUGAAGGUGAAUUGAAAGUACCCAAUGGAUUAGCACUUUCAAGUUCCUGGAACCCUUGGGGUGACAACUCAAAUCCAUUUCUGGCCAAAGAGCCAUGAGAGCUGUAGAAGUGCAGGGAAAAAAUGCGAGGCGAGUGGUUGGGGGGGUCCCACUGCUCUCUGCUCGCGUGCCUGGUGCUCCCCAGAGCGCUGCAGUGCUGUGAGAUGGUUUGUUUCUGUGCCCUCCUACCUGUGUAACAGGGAGGGUAAAACUGAUGCGAUGUGUUCUAACGUUGAAAAUUUUACGAAGGCAUUCUGUAAGUGUAAAGUGAUUCAUAAUUCAUCAGGGAUAAGUGAAUAUCUUGCUUCUCCUCUGAAGUGGGCUUUGCUUGCUCGUGCUGUGGUCUGUUUGCUUGUAGUCUUUAAUGCUUGUUUGAUCACUCUGGCAGUUUGCAAGAGUACCCUUAUAAUGCAGGAAAAAGGCCAGUUUGGGGAGCCUUUGUGUAAGUAAGAUAUUAUGACUGAAAGAUACCUCAUAGCUCUUUGUCUUCACAAAAUCCUGCAAAAAUGCUUCCGAGGGUGCCUGCAUGCCAUGUCAGUGGCAGCUGUUGUGCAGAUGGAGACAGCCCACCUGCACUGACCAGUGUGGGGUGGGAGCAGCUCCCAUCCCAUCCUGUCUUGCUGGUGGUGGGGCACCACAGAAGCAGCCCAGUGGGUUCCCACUGUGUUUCCCGCCGCAAAAACAAACUGACUUUAUGGGCUGUUGAAGCGGAGGCACAGUUUAGAUGUUUGUUGUUUUUUCCUCUGCAGUCUUCAUUGCUGUGGGCUAGUCUAUUUAACUGAAUUCCCGCUGCCACACAUUGCUUAACAGUAUCUAUAGGAUGUGUUACUAAUUGCAUGUUUUUGCUGCGGUAGUGAGCAUAACUGAAAGCAAAAGUUUUCAUUGUAAUGGAAUAUGGCUUCUCCUGUGGAAUGUUUUUCUUGCUGACCUCACAUUUUUAAGGAGUGUGGUGGAGCCGGUUUGGUACCUGGGAGAAGCCGGCAGCCCCAGUGGUUAGGCAUCUCCAGUGCUGUAAUGUUGUAUUCACAGAAGGCCUCAGGUACACAGGAGAUGGAUCUACAGAGCUGAUUUUGCAGAGGUGAGAUGCUAAAGGGGCUCUGGAGACAUUGCGUUUGCAGAGCAGGUGCUUCUAUUCUACAUGUCAACUGGAGAUAAUUGGGGAAUGCACGUCCCGUAAAGUAAAAUGUCCUGGGUUUGGGGGUCUUCUGGCACUGAAGUGAAGGAGCCCAUACAAACUGACAAGGAAGGAUAGUUUGGAUUGGAAAGGUUAAAUCUUGAUUUUCCGUUUUAUUUCUUUUUAAAUGAGUGCCUCUUUUUCAACAGGUGCUUUGUUGGCACGGGCUUAAAAAUCAGUAAGGUCAGAGCUGCAGUGAACUUCAGAGGAUGGCUUUCGCUAUCUUCCUCUGCCAAGUCGCAGCAAAAGAGCACAGUCCCUCCCUGCCUUUCAUCCUGCUGACUCGCAGAGCAGAGCCGUGCUCACUGACGGGGUAUGUCAUGUGGGCUGUGGUUGCUGGGAGAUGAGAUCUGAGCGAUACCUUGAGCGUGGCGAGCAAUGUGGGGAUAGUCUCACGGUGUUGUGACCGAUAGCAGAGGAUCAGAUAGUGAUUGCUAAACUGAAUCACAAGUGAAAGUCAGCUAAGCCCGCUUAUGUGCUCAAAAAAAAAAAAAAAUUGAAGUGGAAGGGAAAGAUUGAUCCUAUUCCUCUCCACUGCUCUUUGCAUCCCACUUUCUUCUCUAGAACCUCUAUAGACUUCUUGAGGCUGUGAGCCAAGCUGUGUCAAGGUGAUAAGUAACUCCAAGGUAGGGAUUAGUCCAGGUUAGACUGGAGUUCAGGGGAAGAGCUUUCAGUAUUUCUGCCUCCAGUUACCCAGUGAAUUCUUGCUGGUGUUGUUUGUGCAGAUUCAGCUAUGUUCUGUUCUCACUGCCAUAGCAUCUGUCUUCCCUUUCUUGGAAGGUAGGUACCCCCUUGCCCUGCCAGGCCUUUAGCAUACCUGUUUAUACAUGUAUGAAUGAUGCAGGUGUACGUGUGGGUGUGAACUGUUCUGAUAAGCCUAGGGAGAGCCAUUGUGUUGUGCUUGGCUGAUGGUGACUUUCCCUUUUCUACAAAAGGACCUCACUGUAUUAAUCUUUCCAUGUUGUAGCACCUGUUGUCUGCCAGGUAGGUCUUAAGUAUUGUGUUCAGAGAAGAUUAUCGCUGUGCUGGCUAUAGAAGGAGGAGGAGACUGGAAAAUUUCUGCUGUUUUUUUAAGAGGAGUAAAGGGGAAUCUACUAACAUAGUCGAAAAGGUCAAGAACAGCACUUUGGGAAUCCUCUGGGAUGUAUCAUUAAUCCCUACAUUUGAGAUUUCAUAUUAGAGAUAGAUUUUGGUGUAGAACUCACGCUGGAGACGUGCAGUUCGAUGUUAUAUCACUCGAAUCGAUGCAGGCAGUUCAUCACUGCUAUCUAAAAAGCCACUAUGUUGACACAUGACAGCGUUGUUAUAUCAACAUGAAUUGUUCUGACAGGCUGUAGGAGUUGUGUAUGUUUUUAAGGUAUGUAUCCCUGGACUGGACCGCUGGAUGACGUAGCAGAAAUUCUGCUCUUAUGAAGUCCUCAACCUGCUCGUUGUUGUUUUCACGUGCACAGUAAUUCCUUAAGUUCUUUGAGAUGCUCACUGUGUGGAGUAGGUUAAAGCAAAACGUGGAGUGUUAACAGAAGUCUGGAGUGUUGUUUGUGUGGAAAUUGCUGCUACUGUAAUAUAUUUCGAAGCUGUUCUUAAAAAAAAAAAAAGUCAACAGCAAACAGCAGAAAACAUGUAUUGCUACCAUGGAUUUAUCCAACCUGAGACAACUCUCCAGCAAGCUUUGCUUGAUCUAAGGCUGUUUAUACAAACUGAAUAUUUCUGUAGCUCUGUCAUCUCUCGAGUUAUAGGCAGUACAAAUUAAAAGUUACUUUCGGCGUUGUUCCAACAUUAAACUCAGCUGGUGACUUACUGGAGAGCAGUGAGAAGUAAAAGGGCUGAGUUGCCCAGAGCAUCCUCUCUCUGACAGUAUGGCCUGUGUUCAUCCCCGAGAGCAGUCCUGGCUUCUGAAGUACUGUAGUAGCAGACAUGUGUUGCCUAUGCAGUGAUGAGGAAAACAAGGGUAAUGUGUGCUGCAGGGUGUUUCCUAUGCAUCUGCCCGGUUUUAUUUUUAUACGAUAUAUUUAUACACAUGUGCUAUCUUCUCAGUUUAGCUCUAAUGCCCUCUAAUUCUGGGUAUGCGGUGAAAAUCAAUGUGGAGGGAAGAACAAGGACCUUGGAGGCUUUGUAGGAUAUAAGAAAUCCCCAAAUUUUCAAAUGUUGUGCGUGGUUAAAUGAAUUAGUGCUCCCUAUAACAGUGGUCCCGCUGAUAAGUUGAGAAUAAAACUCUGGCUUGAGAACUGUAGCAAAACACAGGGAGACUCAAGCUGGCUGAUUGCAGGCUUUAAAUAUCCAGAAUGAUUCAUCCUGCUUUUUUGUUGUCCAAACCUGUAGUUAAAAAUUACUGUAUACUUUAAGUAAAUUGAAGAAGGGUUACCACAGAAAUGUGAGAAUAAACUUGAAUGACAAAACAUCAAAUUAUUUUCAAUUCUUCCUUUAUAAGACUGCUCUUAGAGCCAAAGAAUGAUUAUUAGUGACCCACAGUGCUAUCCAGAAGGAGUUUGUAAUUUUCAGUUGAGUCAACAGAGAGGAUUUAGCAGCUGUGUAUUAUGAGGAGAGUGGGCGACAGGCAAAUUGUGAGAAUUGGUGGAAUGUGGCUCGGAUAGCUACUUGUUGGAUGAAGGCUGGAGUGCACAGGACAGUUGAAAAAGACUGCUGGCAAAUUAGGAUGUAGCUGUUAAGUAGACUACAAAGAGAAGUGUCAGCAUCGUGAGUCUGGGCACUUGUUUCCUGUUCGUACCCAGGACUGGCGAUGAGCUUAGCCUUUGUGUCAUCUUCCUCUGUGCAAGGCUUGCACUGUCCUUCAGCCUUUGCUUGCUGAAAGUGGAGAACAGAUGGGAGAAACAAUAGCCUUUUGUAUCUGUCUGAGAAAAGAUAAGAGAAUUAGGUCUCUCAGCCCUAAAAGUAAUCUGGCCAUACGGUUACGUCAUCUGUGGCAUUCACACUAGUAGUAAGGCCCAGGUACCUUCAGUGUUAGGCACAGACAAGUCCAUGGGGUGUGUGGUUGAGGGUGUAAAACAUGCCGGUUUCAGUGCAGUUGAAGAUAACACUUUUCUCUGCACAAACUGUCUGGGAUAGGGCAAUUUGUAUCCCCCCGAUUGCAGGCAAGAUAGGAACUGGCAGACAGUAUGGACGAUAGAUGCUCUCUUAAAUGGAGUUACUUGUGCAGUGUGACAUCUCUUGAUCUCCCAGAAGCUUGGGGAGAGGAAGGGAUGAGUGGAAGUGUGGGGCUAGUUGUGUUUUGGUCUCUGGAAGAGCAUAGUUUCUGAGGAAGGAAAGGAUUAUGCAAAGUAAGAGGAUGAGAGAAGCAGUACUCCAGCCUGGUACCAUCCCUGUGGGGGGCACACAGCAGGCUCUUAAUGUGCCCUAGUAUAAAGUUCUCCCCUUAGCCACUUCAGCUGUAGCAGGAGUUGAGCCUGGGCAUUAGUUCUGGCUCUCAGGGAAGAGAAUUAGUUUUAAUUCACCACCUGUUUGCUUUGAUAGAGAUCUCAGCUGCAGGUUGAAGCAGUUGGGUGGGUCUGGGUUGCUCCAUGGGCUGUUGUCACUUCUCUGCUUCCUCAAGCAAGGAGAGGAUUUCACAGAGCUCCUGUCUUGUCUUCAGUGAUUCUUUUUUUCCUAUCUCCCCCGCAAAUGAAACAGUUCAUGUUUUGCAGCACGUCAUAUGAUAUCCAUAUACGUGAGAGUGUUGCUGCAUUGUAUGUGAAACCUAGUUUGAGAUAUCUUCUGUCUUCCUGGGGAUGGGGCAGCUGGGAUGAGGAAGCUCCAGCAGGCCAGCACUGUGGCACAUUGGGCUGUGCUACUGUUUGCACUGUAUGCAGCCUAAGCAGAUGUCUGAGAGCUGUUUGGCCUUGUUUCUGGGUGUCUUAUGAAUGGGGAAUGAGAAUAAAUUAUUUCUUCAUUUGUCAUAAGAGAGAAAUUGAGUAGAGAGUCAACAGUUUCUGAGAAAUCCAUUGAUGGAAAAACGGCCCUCACCCUCUCUGGCCUGGGGCUCCUAUACAGGGAGACCUCUGGCUGCAGGAAUUGUGUCUUCCUGCUCUUCGUGAAUGACUGUGUUGUGCAGUGGGAGAUAAUGUGGGGAGCCCUCAGUCCUGUUCUUAAACAGGGCACCUAUUUGCUUUACAUUCCAAGUGUUCUGCUGAACAUUAACUUGUUUGCUGCUUUCUGAGCUUGCACACGUGGUCAGGGCGCAGGAAUUGAAUAACCCUUGAAGAAUGAACUCCUUUGUUGCCCACCGAGGCAUAGCUGUAGCAUUGUUUUCAGCACUGGCAGGGCGGUGAGUAAUAGCGUUGCAGCUGCUUCACUGAGCUCUGGGCUUGAGGAUACCUUAGUCCCUUUGGACUUUGCAAAAUCAUUCACAGGAGGAAAAAGAUGAAAUGCAUUUGUAAGCAAGGCUUGAUUAUUUGUUUUUGUAAGUGAGGAAAACAGUUGUACUGUGGAAGAAAUAAAGCACUUAGACUUCGCUUUGUAAAAAUUUGAUGGGUUGUAGCAAGGUGCCAGCGUCUUUUCAGAAUAAAUUUUCAAAUUGUGGACACGGCUUUCCUCUCACCCUAUCUUUUACAUCUGGUGUUGCUAGUUUGGGCAGCACUCUGUCUCCAUUGAUCAAGGAGACUGCCCAUGCCUAGGCAGCAUUUAGCCCUGCUCCAUCCUCAAAGCCCCACAAGGAGUAGGCUGCUUUUUGCUUUGACUCAAAGCAUUUACCUUGCAGCAUUCCGCUUUAAUGUUUUAGUGGCACUGACUACCUUUUAAAGAAGUUUUUGCAUUGCUCUCAACUCAGUCUGCCAAGAACUUUUGUCCAGUAGAGUUUAAGCUACUUUUUUGGUGUAAUUUAGACAUAAUUAUCUCACCGAGAUUGUAUCUGAGAGCAAGACCGUAUUCAUCAACUACUCCUUUCAAAAGUAUUUUCUGAAGUGGGUUCUUCACUGCUUUGUCAGACCCAGUUUUAGAUGAUGCGAGUGAUAAGUCUUCAGUGUCUUUGCACAGCAGUCCUCUGAUAAUCUGUGUGGCCAGCAGUGAUAAAAAAAAAGAAAUAAAAUAAAACAACUUUAGGAAUUAUUGUGAAAUGCAUAGAAAUUAAAGCAUAAUUGCAUCGUUGUCUAAAUCGGUGUCUCAGCCUGGAGUAGUAGGCCACUUUUUCAUCCUUUGUCUAAGAAAGAAUUUAGUAGAAGAGGAAAAACUCAGAGAAAAGCAGCAAGAAUGACCACCUGUCUUCCAGGUUGUCAGUGGAGAACCGGGGAUAGGGAAGUUCUGUGUUAAGUUUGCAAACACCUGAAAGGAAUAGAGAAGGGUAAAGAGUUGGGGACAUUUGUAUACCCGUAACGCAAGGACUGAAGGCCACCAGCAAGCUUAAGAUGGAAUGCUUAAUCUUGUGUAGUUCAGGCUGUGAAAGGCAUUUCUGCAGGAAGUCUUUGGUUCCUGAAGUUUAGUGAAGUCCAAAAUGUAAUUUAACAGACUUAUGAGGGAGAAAAAAAUAUUGCAGUCCCACAGAAACAAGUUCUGACAGGGAAUUAACGCAGGCCUGCCAGUUGCUGAGUGAUAGAGUGAAAGGGUUAACAACUGUAGGUUUUCCAUGUUCCCCUACCCACCUGGGUCUGUGGCCUUGUUUGACAGUUUUCAGGCAUGCGCAUCUUAGUACAGGCAUUUCAUCUAUGUAAUGGAACAUCGGUGAUUUUUUUCUUUUUUUUAAUGAAAUAAGUUACUUGUAAGCACGUGUGCUUUGUGUGCAUGUCGUAAGUGAUGCCCUCGUUUCUCUCACCUGGGCAUUGUAGAUUUUGACUGUUGUGGCUACUUAAUGCAGAGAAAAGGUAUGUAAUUCAGUGGGACGUGUUGGUUUAGAUACAGUGGGUUCAGAAACAGUCUGCUCCUGAUGAGCUUUUUGAUUAUUAGACUCCAAUUUGACUAUUAGACUCCAAAAAUAGAGUCUAAUAAGCGACUUUUCUUUCACAGAUGAGGCUAUAUGCGUAUAACAUGUAAAAAUAUGGUUUUGCAAAGCAACCUGUCAGGUGUAAAUUCUUACUGUUCGUCUGCAUGCUGUUUUUUCCUAUUAUUUUUUCAAGGUAUCACUUGGUGUGUUUGUUUUGGUAUUUCUUUGGUGGCAUUGCUUCUGCGUAUCCUUAUUUUAGCCACCUCAAAAAGCCUGGUAUGAAAUGAGACCACCAGAAGUGUAUUAUCUUUUUUCCUGCUGUUAGUUAAAAUGGAACUGUUUGAACAAGACUUGAAGGCUACAAUGUGAAUACCGGUGUUUUUUAAUGUGGAACAUUUGACUUCUGUAAUUGUUGUCGCAUCACGCCAUCAUCACAGCAUUGAAUUUGGGAGAGGGGUGCUACUAGUCAUUUGUAGAGCAUUGUCCAAUCAUCUUUGUCAAAGAAUGGAUUUACUGUUGAUUUCAGGCUCCUUGGUUGAGAAUUGUAUCUUAACUCGCUUUGCCUUUCUUCUUCCCCAAAGGGUUUAGUAUUAUGCUGCAAAUUUCUUCAGGACAGCUAUUUUUAAAGAACAUCAGGGUUGAGAAUUCGAGCACUGAGAAUUUAGACAUGAGGAUCAUCUGUUUAAUUCAGAUCGCCUUGAUUUCUGUGAAAGAAGAGUGCUACCUGGAAGGUGCACUUAGAUUGUGUCAGGGAAUGUCCAGAAAAAAGCUGGACUUUCUAUUUUGGAACGUAUUCAAUAUCUUUAAUGCUUGCCUUUUGAAAUUUGGCUGUAGUUUUUAUAGCUUUUGCGUGUAAUUCAAGUAAUAAAGCUCAGAAGUCUUUGAUUUACACAGAAAGCAAGUUUUGGGGAGAAGCACUACAAGUAGGUUUAUGAAAUCCUAUGCAGAUUAUCAUCAGGGUUGAACCAACAGCAGUGAUUUACCUGUUGAACAAAGAGUAGCUAAUAGCAGUAGUAGAUUCUUAUCCUUAAUUCACAAGCUUCAAGGUGCGAAGGGGUUGUUAGAUGCCUUUUCUGAUUCUUCUGUGUAUUGCAAAGCAGUAUCUUUCAUCUAGACCAAGGUGGUAGCUCCGAUUCUGUUAAUGUGUGGCUUCCUGAAUGACAUCUACUCAAGGUGGAGGCAUCAAGAGGAGGAAAAUCUUGUUCUAUUAGUUACUCCACUACUAAGAGCAUUAGAAAGGCAAACCCUGUUUGGCCAUUUUCAGUCUAGCUGGCUUCAGCUUCCAGCAGUCACUUCUGCUUAGCUUUCGAAGCUGAAAAAGCUCAUUGCAGCCCACUGGUGCCCAUCUCCUCCCUGGCACAGUGCAGUCGAGUCGCCUUUGAUAAACCACAAGUGCUGCCCUUCCUGCUGCUUCACAAUUUACGUCUGCGUUUUAAGGUCUCUCUGUGAGUUUCUAGUCCAAAUAGCACAUGUUCUCCUGGUAUUUUUGUAAUGUUAAUGUUUUAAUCAGCACAUCAAGCGAUAGUAAAUCAUGUUCCACUUUCACCAGUGGGAUUCUCAGCUGUUUGCCAAGCAGCUGGGGAACAGUGAGAUUCAUCAAUCAGGGAUUAUUAUUUAUUUUUUUGGGGGGGGUAAAUAUGUGUAUUGAAAGAAAACAUUUAUUAAAACAAGGGAAUCAAGGGAAUAAAGUAAGAAGCAUUUACAUGAUUUGAUUGGAAGGUGAGCAUUGCAGUGUAGCUUCUCCUGUAGUGCAGGUCACUCCUUUGUGCUGAGCUGUGUGCAGUCACAGUGCGGCCUGGUGACGGUGCUGAGCUGGGCAGUGGACAUACGGGAGAGCUCAACAGAACUUGGUCUGAGUUGGUUUAGGGUUGAGGGAGGCCGCUUUGUAUUCUUUUAUCUCUGUCUAAAAGGCAUUUUAAUUUAAUUGUGUAGUUUAGGUAGGCUCCACUGAAUCAAUAACUUUUACAAGUAGCAGUCAAUUUUUCUUCCAGAAGAAAAGAAUGUUUCUGUAGAUUUAGAUUGUCCUUAUUACUGAAUUGCAAAAUCACUAACGUGGAGAAUUCCACACAAACUACAUGUUCUGUUCCCAAAGGAAGGAUUUUUUUUUUCCCUGGAAAUAUUAAGUUAUACAACCUGAUUAAAAGGAUGCUAUGAAACAUUUGCACCUGAAAGCUUCUUAUUACAAUGAGAAGACAAUUGUGUACUCAGAAGCAUGGCAAAGUCUUCCAGUGGUGUAAAUCCAGCUCUAAAUCCUGUGUUAUCAACAACUAGGAUUUCUCAGUAGGCAGCAGAAGUCAUGGGAGAAUCAACAGGCACUUGUGCUUAGCUUUUGCCUUAGAACCACAGAGAAACUGUAGCUUCUGUAAUGAAUUGGCACCCAUUUUGCUAGAGAGAAAGGCAAGUUUUUAAAAUGGCGUCUUACUCUUUCUUUUUGUAAACUUAGUUUAAAUGAAAAUUGCACACGAGACUGCCAAGCUAACUCAGAUUUGCCUUUGCAACUUCCAGAAUAUGCUUUCUCCCGAGACUACAGAAAAUUACAAGUAUGCAUUGCCGUCUCACUGUCUGCCUAAGGGGAGUUUUGCCCUCCAAUAAAUAAAGAGUCUACAGAUCAUAAAUCAGCAUUUAAUCGUCAGCCUCCAGGUGACUCUCAAAUGUCAAGAAGAGGUGCGUGAUAACUCCCAGAUUUCUGUUAAUGGCCAUAGCUGCCGUCGUAUUGUUAAACAGAGUCUUGCAAGAGGCAAAUGUGACCUUUCCUAAAUCUUUUGCCUUUUUAAUUGUAUACUUUGUGCCUUUUUAAUUGCCGGAGUCUUUGUAAAUCCAAAUGUAGAGCAUCUAAAAUCAGAGCUAAAAUUGAAAACAAGUAGAAGCAUUUGGAAGAGAAGGAUAAGCUGUCAAAAUCUUGCCGUUGUCGGAGGAGAUGCUCGGUAUGGACUGAUGUCCAGUGGCAGGGAAUGCGUUCAGUUAGGAGAAUGAAGAGAUCAGAUUUUCUGCAGCAGAACAGUGAUUGAAUGGGUUCCUGAAUGCAUUCCUCACGUUAAUUUGUGUCAUUCUUUGGAAGUGCCAUAAACAAGUCUGUGUAGCACCUUGUCAGUGAUUUGCAUUGCAGAAAGAAUUGUGAAAAGCUGCGUAGAUACUGGAACUUCAGGGGCUGGAUGUAUUGCUGAGGUGAGAAUCUUCUGUCUGUAUUUAAAAACAAAGCAACUCUCUCAUCCCCUCCUUCCCCCCCCCAGGCUUCCACUGUUUCUUAUCCACUUGUGCCGCUCGCAGUGUGUCACAGCAGUCACUAAAUCAUGAACUGAAACAGAGGAAAAGUAAGUUAAUUGUGCAUUGCUGGCUAUCUGAUUAAGUCCUCUCUUCUGCAUUCAGACUCUAGUGGAUUUAUGAAGAUAAAGUAAAGGGAAAGAAACGAUGUGGCUACCGAGGGGAGAAUGAAUAUUAACGUCUUUCCAACAACGCUGAUGAAAUGUUAUAUGUUUAAGCUACCUGGCUGUUUCAAUUACUCAUGAAACAGCAUGGGUUGGAUGUAAUUCUGCUUGCUAGCGCUUGCUAAAUGCUUCAUAAGUGCUUUCAGGUGACCCGGUUUUAGGGUUGAUGUGAGGAACCUGUGAUUGUUGAAUGCUGUGGCAGGGCCCAACAAAGCCUGUGGGUGACACUACCCUCUAGGAAAGCGGGAUGGUUGGUAGGAACGCCAGGUGCCUUUUAAUACCUAAAGUGGAAAAGUUGAUAGUACGUUGCUAAUGAAGUAACUAAAUGGAGCAGAUCAAUAGAUGAAUAUUUAAGAGGCUCUUUAAAUGAUUAUGCUACAAAAAGUAUGCAGGAGGAAGAAAUAUGAGGCUCUGACAGCUACAUCAAGCAUCAGUAACGCAGAUCAGCUUGUCAUUGAGACUCCUGCCCACGUAUGAGGAAAGAACUGGGACAAAAUUGUUAAAGUUUUUUUUUUAAUCUUCAUCCAGAGUUUUUUUUCUAAAUCAUCAAACCUAAUUUUGCUUAAACUUAAAGUGAAGAUUGCUUUUAAUUGUAGGGCAAAUUAAAGAAAUAAAAGUAAUAGUGGAAAGCUUCAGUCUGAAUGAAAUGUGCUUUAGAAAGCUUGAGCCUUUGACGUGAGGGUAGAUCAGAUACUGCCUUUGCAACUCCAGUUGCUAGUUGUGACUGGCUUUAUUGCUGUUUCUGCUUCUUAAGGUUAAUACACACAGCCUCCGUGGAAGCAUUUAGAAGGAAUUUUCCAAAGUUCAGAAGUUCGCUUGGAGCCUUAUUUUCAUUGUGCCAAGUCUCAGUUAUGGUUUGCAUUACAUGCUGGGAGUGUGUGAGCAGUCUCAUCCACUGCAUCUUUAUAAAUGCAUAAUAAUGCAUAAGUGGUAGAUUUUUGCAGCCCCACACCUUUUCUGAGGGUAUCUUGUUUGUGAUGCAAGGUCUGUCAGUUACAGUAGAUAAUAGUUCACUAGUGAAGAUCACGGGGUGCUGUCUGGCACGCUGACACACUUUGCUCCUUGGUCAGAGGCACAAUAAAAUAAUCAGCACUUUAUCUGUCAUCUAAUUUUAGCCUCCGUCACCCACUUUGGCAGAGCAGUUUAUGUUACCUUGAACCUCAUCCCUGCUUUGUCCAGCACAGCGGGGUCAGCCUCCUGCUGGGCAAUGGCUUUGUUUUCUGCUCAUGCUCCAGCAGUCACAAAGCAGCGGCCAACUUCUCGAGUUCCUCCUUAUUCCUCAGUACCCAUGGUGUGGCACCUUGCAGCUGGGGCUUUUUUUAUUUAUUAUGUGCUUCCAAAUUCCCCGUGACUUUCAGGAACAGGCUCCUCGUUCUGCUGCUCUUCCUGCAUGCUAAGGCCAUGGAUGAGCGUGGGGAGGGCAGAGAGACCAAGCGGAUGGGUUUUGCUGCCUGGGCGCUGGCGGUGUAGCUCGCAGUGAGCUGGGGUUCUGGCGUCACUGCUGGAACCACAGGUUUCUGCCCUUCCUUCCCCCUUAGGCAGAUCCUCAGAGGUCACUCAUGCAAAGCCCGGAAUACACCCUGGCAUCUAUUUUAUGCCUUGUAGGAUCCCCUCAGGGCAGAGACUGCCUGGUCCUUUCUAGUUAAGCACAAGAGCUUUCCUCACCUCUUCCAGCAUCUCUUCAGCGUAGAAAUGGAGUCUUUUAAAACUUCGGCUUCUGCUUCUCUGAUCUUUGGCUGUUCCUUUUGCUGCUGUCAUGUUUCCUCAUUCUUCUUGGGGAGGAGAUUGACCCAGCAGCAGCCUUUACCUGGGGAGAUUGCUGACUUUCUCUCCUGCCUGGUUCGUAGAUCUGUUUUUACAUAAGUCAUUCCAAAUAUUUAUUCUUUCAGUUUGUGGAUGGACGCAUUUAUUGCAGCUGUUGGGAUCCUCAUUAGCAGAAAUUAGCGCAAGCUGUGACAUCGCAUGGCUUGACUUUUCUGCCACAGACCGCAGUUACGUGAACUGAAAUAACUCAUUACUGAAAUCAUCUGAGGUUAAGAGAAGCUUUCUGUCAAGUGGGUUUGCAGUGGGCAGCCUGGGGAAGUGGCACGAUGCUGCUGGAGCGGGGUGGAUGGCAUGAUGGCACCAGUGUGCCUAUCUGCAGAGUGCAGGCAGAAGGAGGGAUGAUGCUGCCUUGAUGGGAACCGAUGUAUGGGUGCACCACCAGUGUGCACGUGCUUGCAUGGGUGGGGAAUUUAUGGCAGGAGAGCUCUUGGCUUCAGUGGCAAAGUUGGGUAUGAGGUGGAAGGCUCACAACUGGGGUCAGUGUGCGAUGGAAGGAGACAUCCCCUGGUCAUAGGGAACCAAAUGGACUUUUGCAGAAUGUAAAGGUUUACUACAGCCUGUUGGCCUUACUGGCCUUAUCUUUUUCCAUUUGUAGACUACUUCCCCAUAGUUAUGACUCAAGAGGAAAACACACAGUGAUGUGUGCUGGAGAUCCUGCUGACACAGUUCUUGUUUAUUCUUCCUGUCUUAGCACUGGCUGUUUCUGGGCCUUGCUGUAGGCUUGCCCCUUGUUCAGCUCCUGGCAAGUGAAGGGGCUGGUAAUGCUGGAAGGAAGCACGCUUCUGUGCUGUGUUUGACACUGUGAAAAUUGGUUGCUUCGUCUAAGUGCCUUGUGAUUUAUAUUUAUGAUGUAAUGAUGGAGAGACAGGUGUUGGUGUCUUGAAUUUCAUUUAUUUAUUUUUAAUCUGUGCUGGAGGUAAUUUUGUAAUGUGUAUUGUUUUUGGGUGAAUCAACUCAUAAGAAGAUGGAUAAUGUUGUAAAUUGGCUACAAGAAGUUCCCAUGAACCCUUAAAUCUAGUGACGCAGUGUGUCCACGACUUCAGCUAUUUGGAUUUUGUUGUAAACCUCUUAGAUAUGAUACAGUGGAAUCCUCUUAAACACAAAUUCCAUGUAGCGAGUGACAGAACAUAAUGAAAGCAUAAACAGUUACACAAAUAAAACUGUCAGAUGCAUAAUGCUCCAGCUAUAAACAGCUGUGGAUUUCGGUGUGUUUGACAGAGUUUAACGAGAUGGGUUAGGAUGCACAUUUUUUUGGGUCAGUUUUGACUAUGCCAGAAGAGCUUUAAGCAUUAUUGAUACUUGUUAAAGGGUAACUUGCUUGCUUGCAACGGAAUCCUUUGCCAUCAGUGUCUUAGCGUCUCUGCUGCUGACAAAUUAGUACUUAUCUGUAUGUAAUGAAGUGCAUUAGAAAAAUGCUACAUGGCUGUUGGCGAUGUAAGUAGUGGGAGAUGGGACGUGUCUUUGAUAUGGUCCAGAAAGAUUAUCCAAGCAGGAUACUCGUUGUAUUACAGACGGAUAUUUGUUGCUUAGAUGCUGUCAGUAUGAGAUGGCCCGCACAGAUCUGUUGUACAAAGUCCAAGAAUUCAGCUUGCUUCAGUGUGACCUGGAGUGGAUUUAACAGUUUUUGUGUAGCUGGCGUUAUUUCAACCAGGUGAUAGUUUUCCCUGGGGGGAUUGUUUCCAUGUAAAAGCGAAGUAAUUUGGAUGACUUCUGUAAGCAUGAGGCCUGUGUUUUGCGUAGCACUGAGAUGUCAGUUGACCCAGUAUCUGGAUGCUCUGGCAGUUUUACAAAUUUUCAUCAUAAAAAAAUUGCCAUUCAAGGCAUGUUCUUUCCGGCUGGCCUUCUGCUGGAAGGAUGCUCACUGCUGGUGGAGCAGGACAGUCUUCAGUCACCUUGUGUCCUUACUGACAGUGCUGUUCAGUUGUGCCUUGUGCAGCCUGCUGAGAGCUUGGUGCCGGUAGAAAUCCCUGGUGGUUGGCUUUGCCUUGCUUAGCUGUUGAUUUAUGGACUGUGCACCCAAGAUCGUAAAGGAAAGCUUUCUAUAGAUCUCUCAACACACUGCACUGGUGGUCCUGCUGGAGGAAGAGCAAUGUUCUUUGGACACGGGUGUUCCCUUGCCGUCCAUCAGGAGGGGGCUCAGGCUGCCUUGCUGCUGCUGAGCAGGAGGGCGAGGGUGCCCCUGGCAUCCCCACGUUGGGGUGGACUUGGAGCCACACUGGUGUCAAUUACAGAAAGCAGUUAACAGGACUUCGUUAAACCAAGCGCUGGGUUUUGAAGUAUAUAAAAAUUACUAUUAGCAAUCAUAGAGAAAUAUCUGUUUGUUUUCAUAGAGUAUAUUAAGUGUAACAUUGAUUUUGACUUGAAAGUGUCCAAAAAGAGAAUUUAAGGCAAAUAAAAUGGGCAUGAAGGGACAUGUUUUGCUUGCAUUCAUAAAGAUGGUACUUCAGGGAUUUAUAUGAAAUAGAAAACCUUCUGCAAGUUGCAUGAAAUGUAAUAAAUUGUGCCUGAAAACACCCCCAGUUUGACUGUAAAGGUCUUAUCUCACCCAAGUAAAAUAUUUAUGCGUAAAUGCAUAUUUUAUAUUUUGCCUUUACCAUCCUUGGAUUGCUUUAUAUAUACUUUCAUAAAUGGCAUCUCUGGUGUUUGCUUGUAGUGAAGGCAGCAAAAAAGAAAACCCCUCAUACGAUUUAUUUGAUGUUACUACUUUGACUUUUCCCGUGGUUUAUUUUGGGUAUAAGGCGGAGCAAACAGGCUGAUAAGAGUAGAGCAUACUGGGGUGAUAAAAGCAAAGUAGAGAGCUGGAAAUUUUUCUUGAAAGUCUUUGUUUAAUUGGAACUUAUACUUCAGACACACGCAUCCAAAGUUGUUUUAUGUUCUGCGUAUCGCUGUGCUUUAUCUGCUACUUCUGUGUGGGGAUAUUUGUGCCCUGUUAAAAUGUUCAGUGUUUUGAGUGCUUUCAAUAAAAUCUUCGAGAAUGAUUCAAGUUUGGGAGACGCUUCAGUGAGUGAUUUAAAGCUCCAACUACUUAUUGAGGAGAAGGUGAAGAGGUGACAUUGCUGUUGCUUAGAAAUACUUAAAUAAAAGAAAGAUAUCAAUUUGGGGAAAAAGCAGAAAGAAGAAAGCUACAGGAAAAGCCAAAAUUGAUAGCUGAAGCGAGACAAUUUGCAGUAAGAACACAGGACGUGUUUACAGGAAGUAAUUAGCAGUUGAUGCAGUUCUUUAAGGGACUUAGCAGAUCAAAGAUGCAGUUGUUUUAGCAGCUUUUCACCUUGAAAUUUGCAGUUACCAAUUUUAUCGUUGGACUUCCUGGAGCUGAAAGGCUCAUGGAAAGACUCCCCUGUUUUCCUUGUGACCUUCCAGUGGUGGUGCUUCAGACUCAAUGCUCCAGCCCCUUGGUGCUUGGAUGUGCUUGGUUCCGUGCUGUAACCAAGCCAUGUGUGGGUUGGGGGCCAGGUCAGAACUGGGAUGGAAUCCCUGGGUGAGCUGGGGUUCACAUUACUGUUGUAGAGCACUUUGUUUUCCAAAUAGCCCUGUGGAAUGUUUGCUGAGUUCGUCAUCUGAGGGGGGAGUAGGGAUGGGCAGCUUCCACAUGGCAUGCUGAGUGGGAGAUGGAGGAUUGCAUUUUUGUGAUAUCUUACUCUAAAUCAUUUUUCUAGGCAAGGCGUUGCUGAGAAAAGGUCUUUUCUUGCAGACCUGGAUUGUGUUUCUUGGCUCUUCUUUGAGAAAACUAUAUUUCAGACCUCUAAAUCAUCAGACUUUGGGGGCAGGGGGUCUUUUUGCUCUGCUCUGUAACCUAGUGUUUGCUUUUUUGGAAGUGGGUUUUGUGUGUGUAUGAAACAUUAAAUUUCAUCCCAUUAGUAUUAGUCUCUCUGAAUAAAUAGGUGAUAGCAGCUUGGGGCUGGCUGCUGAGCCCUGAUAACAGUGACCACUGGAGAAGGGUCGUUCUUGCUUAGUUGAAAUAAUGACUUCCUGCAAUGCUUAGAUUUAAGCUAGUAAUUCUGAUCUCAAAGUAAAACCUUUCUAAAUUUCCAGUAACUGAGGCUUAUCUAAUACUUCAAAUUCUAGACCAUUUUCUGGCUUUUUACUUCUUCCAGGAAAGGACACCUUAUUUAACUUAGCAGAAGAGGAAAAACUUGUAUUGUGUCGGUCUGGAUGGUCUCUUGGCUCUGAGUGAAUCCAAAUUCUUUAUUGACAUUCAGAUGGCAAAAUAUAGCAGAUACCUAAGAAGUAGUUCAUUUUAAUAUGCUAACGUAGCUGUUUGAAUGCUGAUAUACUGUGUAAGACAGGAAUGCAGAUCGAUGCUGUAGGAUUCAUGCCCUGUGUUUGAGACAGUUCUUAUGCCUGUGUAAAUGUUGUUUAGGAGAAUGAACGUCUGGUUGUAAAACUAACUUGAGCUUAGAAAAGCCAUCAUAAAGUCAUAGAACCAUUAAGGUUGGAAAAGACCUCUAAGAUCAUCCAGCCCAACCCCAGCCCACCUCACUGUACCCACUGACCACAUCCCUCAGUGCCACAUCCCCACAGUUCUGGUACACCUCCAGGAAUGGAGACCCCACCACCUCCCUGGGCAGCUGUGCCAGCGCAUCACUGCUCUUUUGGAGAAGAAAUUGUUCCUAAUAUCCAGCCUGAAUUGCACAGGAAUCAUCUAGCUUUGUACUGGGAAAAGCUGCUAGAAUAGAAGAGGUUAAUGGAGCUUCUCUGCUUUUAAUUAGUUUGGAUUACAGCUUGAUUUAAGGCAAGUGAAGGCACGAUGAGUUCAUGUGAUGUGGAGGCUUGAACCUUAUGCUGCUGUCUGAGUGUCCUUGGUUAGCAGCACAUCCUCUGCUACGAGGAGGGCUGGUAGUCUGGCGGUGUGCCUUCCUGCAAAACAUUUUUCUUCAAGAAAAGCAGACUUCUUGGGAAACUUCAUGCCAGAUUGGAAUUGCCAGAGAGCAGCGCAGAAUGGAGCGGUUUGCUGUAAAAUCUGCUUCAGUUUAAGAAAAAAUAAAUUCGUGCAAUACCUAAUUCAGCGUUGCUCUAUCUUUUCCUUCUCCCUCUGAGCUGCAGAGGCACUGUAAUUUUAUCUGCUUCAUAUUGAAAAUUCAUUUGAAUGCAGUCUGAAUUUAUUUAUUUUUACUAUCUCAUCAGCAGAAUAUGCUUUUUUACAUGAAUAUAUUUUACAGAUAUAUAAAAAAAGGCAGGUUAUGAAGAAUGUUCUUGUGGAAUUGUUUUAUUUGUUAGUACUCUAUGUGCUUUUAAUGCAAUUUAGGUGGUAUCUAGUGGAAAUUUAGCUUGUCUUAGCUCGAAAUUCUGAAGCUGGUGCUUGCGCUUGUAAAUAAUGCACGCUUUAAGUCAAUACUUUACAUCAUUAUCUUGAGCAAUGGUUUAACCUUGAUAUAUUUCAAAACAAAUGUAUUAGAUAAUAUGCUCUAUACUUAUAUGGUUAUUUAUGGCUAUAAACUUUCUGAUUAGAUAUUAAUGUUGAAAUAACAUCAUCAUGUUUGCUGAAGAUGUCUUCCUUGUUCUGCCCUUUAAUCAAGACGGUGCUAAUACUGCACAGAAGAGAUGAUAUGCAGGUACUAGAAUUUGUCAACUUCUGGUGAAUGGGAAAAGCACUCAGUUUAUGGCAAAGCUCCUUUUCUUCAAAAUGGUUUAUUUAAUAAUAUGUAAGAUAAACUUAAGAGGAUAUGUUCUCUAGCAAGCAGUCUAAUGUUUCUGGAUUACUGAGAAGACCAAAUUCUUUUGUUUUUAAAGGAAGCUAUUCCUAAAAAUGUCUUAGCUGAGGAAAUUAUCUGAUGGAAGGGAAUGUAUUUGAUAUUACUUAUUUCAGAAAUGGAACUGUUUGUGCAGUCAUUUAGAAAGACUGAGAUAGCUGCAGUAUCUGGAGAAUAUGUUCUCUGUCUAAAUGAAAAUCCCACCCUGAGAAAGGAUUUUUAUUGGGAUAUUUUGGGAGAGGGCUUAGACAUCUGUUCUGCUGUCUUUAUUGCUAUACAUCCAGCUGAGCGUUUCCUUCUCUGUCCUUCAUUGCUGUGCAUAGUUGAUGUUCUGUGCCUUCCGUUGCCAAAGGACUUCCCACUGAUGUAAGAUAGAGGUAGAAAUAAACCCCUCCUGCCGGCUUCUUUUGCCAGCCAUCACCCGUUUCAGUUGCAUGAAGCUUAUGUGUAAAUGCAAAUCGAGUAGUUAUUGUUUCUUGAAUGAUACUUGAUAGUCAUUGCUGAGGUUUUCUAACGGUGAUGUUUCGAUGAAGUCAUAGAGUGUAACUGUGUUCAGCUAGUUCUUCAUUGUGUGCUUUCAGGUGCGUUCAAAGGACCUUUCUGAAUUUAAUCCACAGUCUUACUUUCAUUUCUUCCUGUAGUUUAACCACUGGGUUACUGACUGAUAGCCCCUGUAGUGUUUUGGUACUGUUGGUCUCCCAUGUUGAACUUGAGAUGAGUCUUUGUAGCAUUAAGUGGAUCUUCAGUUGUCCUGGUUGGAUGUUGCACUUCUGCUGAAGCACUCAAGGACGGGUUUUUGCUGGCAAGACGUUGUCCCUUUGCGGUGGUGCUUUAUGUGUUGCCUGCCAGCAGUUUCCAGAGAGCUGCCUGGGGAGAGCAGCAGCUACGUGCGUGACCAACUUCUGCUCAGCCACAAAUACUUGAGCUUGCUGAUCUGGAGGUAAAAGUCUUUGGGAGGUGCGGUGUCAUUGGAGCCUUGCCUUGUGAGUUCAUCUGCUGCUUGCUUGCAGAUGUUGACUAAGCCUGCAAUAUACCUUGACUCAUCUGACUUCUGUAACCCCUUCACCCUUGCGAUGGUGAAGCAGUGCAGAUCCUCCGUCCCCAGAGGGGUGGUGGCUGUAGCAGGUCAGAGUUUGACGUACAAACCAAUUGACCCACAUGUUCCUUUUCUCCAGUUGCAAUGGGAUAUUCAGGGUGGAGCAACGACGCUAUUAACUUUUUGAACCAGGACUCACCUUGCUGAUGAAGCAUGUGCUUCUCAAACUUCUAAAGCCAGUGUGCAUGCAGGAGUUUCAAGAACCAGUGGCCCUACUGUGCACACCCAAACUGCUCUUUGGGCCAUGGCAGUGCAGCUCGUGCCAUUGAGGUGGUGGCUCUUUGUACCCUCUGUUUCUCCAUGUAAUGAUACCAGUGGUAUCUACGCAGAAUUUGAUGUGAAGGGUAAGCUAAAUUUAAUGGUAAGUUUACUAAGCACUAAAAUAAAAGUGGUGAUCCGAGGGAAGCAUUUGGUUAAUCUAGUGUUUGGAGAUUAAUUAUUCUUUUGAGUUCUGUGUGUUCUAGGUGUUUGCUAGGCAUCCUGUGAGCUGAGCAAAGUGGGGCCAAUCUGUUCACAUCAAAUAUUUGCCUGCGCUCUUCCUGUACCUUUACUUUGUGUGCGUGUAGGUGUUGACUGAUAGUAAAGAGAACAGUUGGUAAAUAGCUCAGUCAAAAAAGGCUUAUUUAUGAUUUGAAUGUGCAUCUAAGAAGGAACCCCUGGCAUGGAAUGCAAUACUGAAGUUUACACGGGCACGGUUUCAAUUGCAAUUUUGCUUGAAUGCUUAUUGAUGGUGAAAAGAGCUGCUUUCUGCUAAAGCGCUGGUGCUGCCUCUGCUAAAGGAUGUGAGAUUUGCUGCUGUUUUUGCAACGCAUAGUAAUCUUCUACCUUACUGGAAAUCUGUUUUCAGGUUUCCCUUUUUCCUCCCCUGGAGCUUUGUGACGAGGAAGCUGGGAGGAUUAUUCUCAGCUGACAGUGUUUCCAGCUUCUCUCUGCGUUUCCCAGCGCAUCCUGGCGUCCUGCUGACACCUGGAUGGUUAUGAAGAUGUAUGAGACCCCAGCCUCGGUGUAACACGGCUCUGGGCAGCGCUGGAUUUUCGCUCGAGUUGCUUCGCGCACCGCCGCUGACAUGUCAGAAGCAGUUUACACUGUUUGAAUGAACAUCAGCCCUCUAGCAGGAACUUUUAAAAACGUUACUCAAUAAAAUUCAGCAUCGAGUUGAGAUAGCAAAGAUAAUCCUCCAUUUGCUUGUUGAACAGGUGUACGUUACGUCAAACGGAAUGGUGCUGGGGAUGGGUUUUUGCAGCUUAUGGUUCAGGGGAAAAGAAAUUUGCAUGGUAGACAGUAUGCCAGUUUUCGUUGUUUUGGACUCAGACUGGAGCUGAAAUUCCUGUGUGCUUUGUAGGGAUGGAUCUGCUCAGUGCUGAGACCGAACUGCGGUUUUGCAUUUCAAAUACCAACUUGGGGUCCUCUCACACCUUUUACUUUGUAAGCUUUGAAGAAAGGCGCUCUGUAAACGUGCAAGUUCUCAGUUCUGCUCCAGCUGACCCACCCCUUGGGUAGCUCACAGUGUGCUGCAGCACGAGGCUUGUAAAACCCAGUACGCCCAUCUCAGAGCCUGGCUUUGCCACCAGCCUUGAAUGGCAAAUGGAUGAUUGGAAGCGCUGUGGCUGGCACAUGUGCUGGGCAUCCCACCUCAUCCCUGUGUGCUGCUCUGCCUGUGGCACAUAGAAAGCUCCAGGGUUAAUGGUAGACAUGUGUUUGUGGAUAAUUUGGUUACACUGGCCUGUCCGAGUUCUCCUGUCUUCUGCGUUCAGCCUUCAGUGUGUGCUAUGGCCAGCCAGUGGGACAGCCGAUGGUGACACCAUCAGCUUGGAGGCCAUCAUUCAGCGAGAGAUGGCUUACACCACUGGGUGUGAGGUCAUUGCAGAACAAAAUUGAU